Molecule: ribosomal RNA, 1211 nt
Filed under: Escherichia coli
Lineage: Bacteria; Pseudomonadati; Pseudomonadota; Gammaproteobacteria; Enterobacterales; Enterobacteriaceae
Description: partial 23S ribosomal RNA
Rfam family: Bacterial large subunit ribosomal RNA
Source: RNAcentral
AGAGCCUGAAUCAGUAUGUGUGUUAGUGGAAGCGUCUGGAAAGGCGCGCGAUACAGGGUGACAGCCCCGUACACAAAAAUGCACAUGCUGUGAGCUCGAUGAGUAGGGCGGGACACGUGGUAUCCUGUCUGAAUAUGGGGGGACCAUCCUCCAAGGCUAAAUACUCCUGACUGACCGAUAGUGAACCAGUACCGUGAGGGAAAGGCGAAAAGAACCCCGGCGAGGGGAGUGAAAAAGAACCUGAAACCGUGUACGUACAAGCAGUGGGAGCACGCUUAGGCGUGUGACUGCGUACCUUUUGUAUAAUGGGUCAGCGACUUAUAUUCUGUAGCAAGGUUAACCGAAUAGGGGAGCCGAAGGGAAACCGAGUCUUAACUGGGCGUUAAGUUGCAGGGUAUAGACCCGAAACCCGGUGAUCUAGCCAUGGGCAGGUUGAAGGUUGGGUAACACUAACUGGAGGACCGAACCGACUAAUGUUGAAAAAUUAGCGGAUGACUUGUGGCUGGGGGUGAAAGGCCAAUCAAACCGGGAGAUAGCUGGUUCUCCCCGAAAGCUAUUUAGGUAGCGCCUCGUGAAUUCAUCUCCGGGGGUAGAGCACUGUUUCGGCAAGGGGGUCAUCCCGACUUACCAACCCGAUGCAAACUGCGAAUACCGGAGAAUGUUAUCACGGGAGACACACGGCGGGUGCUAACGUCCGUCGUGAAGAGGGAAACAACCCAGACCGCCAGCUAAGGUCCCAAAGUCAUGGUUAAGUGGGAAACGAUGUGGGAAGGCCCAGACAGCCAGGAUGUUGGCUUAGAAGCAGCCAUCAUUUAAAGAAAGCGUAAUAGCUCACUGGUCGAGUCGGCCUGCGCGGAAGAUGUAACGGGGCUAAACCAUGCACCGAAGCUGCGGCAGCGACGCUGAUGCGUUGUUGGGUAGGGGAGCGUUCUGUAAGCCUGCGAAGGUGUGCUGUGAGGCAUGCUGGAGGUAUCAGAAGUGCGAAUGCUGACAUAAGUAACGAUAAAGCGGGUGAAAAGCCCGCUCGCCGGAAGACCAAGGGUUCCUGUCCAACGUUAAUCGGGGCAGGGUGAGUCGACCCCUAAGGCGAGGCCGAAAGGCGUAGUCGAUGGGAAACAGGUUAAUAUUCCUGUACUUGGUGUUACUGCGAAGGGGGGACGGAGAAGGCUAUGUUGGCCGGGCGACGGUUGUCCCGGUUUAAGCGUGUAGGC